CACGGAGUGGUUCAUCAUCCUCACUCGUCCUCGUCUGAUGAUGCGUGAGUAGUUCAUAUCAGACCUAUAGGUCCGUAGGCAGUAGCUAUAUGGAUUACUCUCUCGUUUUGCUUCUCAAUACAAUGGUCUCUUGGAGAUCUAUUUGAUGUAACUCUAUCUUUUGCGGUGUGUUUGUUAGGAUCCGAUGAAUUGUGAGUUUAUGAUCAGAUCUAUGAAAUUAUAUCCAUGCUUGAUUAUUAUAGCCUCAUAUUUCUUCU
Molecule: long non-coding RNA, 257 nt
Filed under: Hordeum vulgare
Lineage: Eukaryota; Viridiplantae; Streptophyta; Magnoliopsida; Poales; Poaceae
Description: long non-coding RNA (HVUL_LNC011817)
Source: RNAcentral